UUACGGCCACAUCAUGUUGAAAGAUCGGUUCCCUUACGAUCACAGAAGUUAAGCAACUUCAAGCCUGGUCAGUAUAUAGAUGGGUUACCACUUGGGAAUAUCAAAUGCUGUAAG
Molecule: non-coding RNA, 114 nt
Organism: Acanthosepion pharaonis
Lineage: Eukaryota; Metazoa; Mollusca; Cephalopoda; Sepiida; Sepiidae
Source: the annotation of a GenBank genome assembly